Long non-coding RNA from Saccostrea cuccullata (small rock oyster), 576 nucleotides. RefSeq lists it as uncharacterized. The transcript has 3 exons. The record is from RefSeq and is a predicted model, not a curated record. Lineage: Eukaryota; Metazoa; Mollusca; Bivalvia; Ostreida; Ostreidae.
UAACCUUGUUAUGCAAUUUUCUUGCUGGGCAGAGUAUAGCUGUUUGCAGUUUAUCUAGGUCAAAAUUUGAAUAUAACCGAUGGACAAGAAGUGCGCGUCUCCUUGCUGUUCAUAUUUAAUGUGCUUUCAAGCUAUACACACAAGGAUUAAGGCUGGAAUAUCAACUUCUGCUCAUUCGUCGUAAGGUUCAAUCAACCAGUGGUGCAGGGAAUUGAUUGUAUAGUCAGCCUUGAUUGCAUCAGAUUCUUCGCCCGUGAAAAUUAUACAAAGGAAUGCAACAUUUUGCUUUUGCUUUAGAGGUUGGAUUCUCCUGUUCAUUUCUUUCAUUCGUGGAACUUAACUAUAUGCGUGAUUAAAAUCAAUGGAUCCGCCAUUUUGUGGAACUUAGUAGUGUAAGGCAGACGCGUACUUUGAAGGACCUGGAUGUGAUUACUGUAACCCACUUUUCACUAGGAAUAUAAAUUUUGUCAAGCAGUGAUUUUUGAGAUUCAGUGAUUGAAUUCGAAUUUGUGUUUGUCUUAAAAAUACAGACUAAAAUAAAUUCUCUCACAAUCAUAAUACUGGAUUACAACUUUU